UGGGGAAUUUUGGACAAUGGGGGAAACCCUGAUCCAGCCAUCCCGCGUGUGCGAUGAAGGCCUUCGGGUUGUAAAGCACUUUUGGCAGGAAAGAAACGUCGCGGGUUAAUACCCCGCGAAACUGACGGUACCUGCAGAAUAAGCACCGGCUAACUACGUGCCAGCAGCCGCGGUAAUACGUAGGGUGCAAGCGUUAAUCGGAAUUACUGGGCGUAAAGCGUGCGCAGGCGGUUCGGAAAGAAAGAUGUGAAAUCCCAGAGCUUAACUUUGGAACUGCAUUUUUAACUACCGGGCUAGAGUGUGUCAGAGGGAGGUGGAAUUCCGCGUGUAGCAGUGAAAUGCGUAGAUAUGCGGAGGAACACCGAUGGCGAAGGCAGCCUCCUGGGAUAACACUGACGCUCAUGCACGAAAGCGUGGGGAGCAAACAGGAUUAGAUACCCUGGUAGUCCACGCCCUAAACGAUGUCAACUAGCUGUUGGGGGCCUUUCGGGCCUUGGUAGCGCAGCUAACGCGUGAAGUUGACCGCCUGGGGAGUACGGUCGCAAGAUUAAAA
This 553-nucleotide ribosomal RNA is filed under the name uncultured bacterium. RNAcentral's name for it is "partial 16S ribosomal RNA". It matches the Rfam family "Bacterial small subunit ribosomal RNA", at positions 355 to 899 of the family's 1533-position model. The record is from RNAcentral.